GGACUACACGGGUUUCUAAUCCUGUUUGCUCCCCACGCUUUCGCGCCUCAGCGUCAGUAACGGGCCAGUGUGUCGCCUUCGCCACUGGUGUUCUUCCGAAUAUCUACGAAUUUCACCUCUACACUCGGAGUUCCACACACCUCUCCCGCACUCUAGGUGCCCAGUAUCAAAGGCAGUUCCGAGGUUGAGCCCCGGGAUUUGACCUCUGACUUAAACACCCGCCUACGCGCCCUUUACGCCCAGUAAUUCCGAGCAACGCUAGCCCCCUUCGUAUUACCGCGGCUGCUGGCAC
RNAcentral lists this ribosomal RNA (292 nucleotides) under uncultured bacterium. Its description in RNAcentral is "partial 16S ribosomal RNA". The record is from RNAcentral.